UGGGGAAUUUUGGACAAUGGGGGAAACCCUGAUCCAGCCAUCCCGCGUGUGCGAUGAAGGCCUUCGGGUUGUAAAGCACUUUUGGCAGGAAAGAAACGUCGCGGGUUAAUACCCCGCGAAACUGACGGUACCUGCAGAAUAAGCACCGGCUAACUACGUGCCAGCAGCCGCGGUAAUACGUAGGGUGCAAGCGUUAAUCGGAAUUACUGGGCGUAAAGCGUGCGCAGGCGGUUCGGAAAGAAAGAUGUGAAAUCCCAGAGCUUAACUUUGGAACUGCAUUUUUAACUACCGGGCUAGAGUGUGUCAGAGGGAGGUGGAAUUCCGCGUGUAGCAGUGAAAUGCGUAGAUAUGCGGAGGAACACCGAUGGCGAAGGCAGCCUCCUGGGAUAACACUGACGCUCAUGCACGAAAGCGUGGGGAGCAAAACAGGAUUAGAUACCCUGGUAGUCCACGCCCUAAACGAUGUCAACUAGCUGUUGGGGCCUUCGGGCCUUGGUAGCGCAGCUAACGCGUGAAGUUGACCGCCUGGGGAGUACGGUCGGCAAGAUUAAAAACUC
Molecule: ribosomal RNA, 557 nt
Filed under: uncultured bacterium
Lineage: Bacteria
Description: partial 16S ribosomal RNA
Rfam family: Bacterial small subunit ribosomal RNA
Source: RNAcentral